Molecule: ribosomal RNA, 465 nt
Filed under: Vreelandella stevensii
Lineage: Bacteria; Pseudomonadati; Pseudomonadota; Gammaproteobacteria; Oceanospirillales; Halomonadaceae
Description: partial 16S ribosomal RNA
Rfam family: Bacterial small subunit ribosomal RNA
Source: RNAcentral
CCUACGGGCGGCAGCAGUGGGGAAUAUUGGACAAUGGGGGGAACCCUGAUCCAGCCAUGCCGCGUGUGUGAAGAAGGCCCUCGGGUUGUAAAGCACUUUCAGUGAGGAAGAACGCCUGGUGGUUAAUACCCAUCAGGAAAGACAUCACUCACAGAAGAAGCACCGGCUAACUCCGUGCCAGCAGCCGCGGUAAUACGGAGGGUGCGAGCGUUAAUCGGAAUUACUGGGCGUAAAGCGCGCGUAGGUGGCUUGAUAAGCCGGUUGUGAAAGCCCCGGGCUCAACCUGGGAACGGCAUCCGGAACUGUCAAGCUAGAGUGCAGGAGAGGAAGGUAGAAUUCCCGGUGUAGCGGUGAAAUGCGUAGAGAUCGGGAGGAAUACCAGUGGCGAAGGCGGCCUUCUAGACUGACACUGACACUGAGGUGCGAAAGCGUGGGUAGCAAACAGGAUUAGAUACCCGAGUAGUC